Paramuricea clavata is the source of this 602-nucleotide non-coding RNA. The record is from the annotation of a GenBank genome assembly. Lineage: Eukaryota; Metazoa; Cnidaria; Anthozoa; Malacalcyonacea; Plexauridae.
GUCAUUAUUUAUGGCGGGGGGUGGCACCGAAGAGAAAAGGGUUGGGUAAACAAAAUUUUGAGUAAGUAAAAGGUUGGGUAAAUGGAAAACAAAACAACUCAAGGGUUGGGUAAUGUCAUUUCAAAAACAUGACUCACUGUCAAAAUAUUGUUGAUUGAAAAGCAAUUUCAACAGUCAUUUGUCAAUACAAUAUGUGAAUCAAUCACAGUCACUAUCUUGAUCAUUUUGACAAAACAAAUGGUGUUUCCAAAGAAAUUACAUGUGCAGACAACAUGAAAUUUUAGACUGCAGAAAAUUUCACAAGCCGUUAUCAAACUCAUGUCACAGAAGUGGUAAAGGACAUGUGUGACAACUGAAUGGUAUCUUUUUGUAACGUUUUUGGCCAGGGGUGGGUAAUUAUUUUUUAAUUGAUAUUUGUGGUUGGGUAAUCAAAUUUUUGUCUUUUUAAUAGUUGGGUCAGCAAAAUUUUUGCCACGAAAAACAUUUCUCUUCGGUGCCACCCCCCACCAUAAAUAAUGACCGGUCCCUAAGUUUAAAAGUGGUCCAGAAAUCCCGGUAUAUUUGUAAUAAAAAUAUCAAACAUCCAGUAUUUUGAGACAUUG